Molecule: ribosomal RNA, 293 nt
Filed under: uncultured bacterium
Lineage: Bacteria
Description: partial 16S ribosomal RNA
Rfam family: Bacterial small subunit ribosomal RNA
Source: RNAcentral
GUGCCAGCAGCCGCGGUAAUACGUAGGGGCCGAGCGUUGUCCGGAGUUACUGGGCGUAAAGCGCGCGCAGGCGGUUCCCUAAGCCCGCCGUGAAAGCCCCCGGCUCAACCGGGGAGGGUCGGUGAGGGACUGGGGAACUUGAGGGCGGCAGGGGCUGGUGGAAUCCCCGGUGUAGUGGUGAAAUGCGUAGAGAUCGGGGGGAACACCCGUGGCGAAGGCGGCCAGCUGGGCCGACCCUGACGCUGAGGCGCGAAGGCGUGGGGAGCGAACGGGAUUAGAUACCCCGGUAGUCC